AUGAAUUACUUAGCCUGGAACUGUCGAGGCUUUGGGUUGGACUCGACAGUUGGCGAACUCAGGGACCUGAUACGGUCAUACAACCCAGCGGUGGUGUUUUUGUCAGAAACUAAGAAGAAGGCGAGAGCAAUGGAGAAGCUGAAGUGGAGUUUGGAGUUCAGAAGCGGUGUUGCGGUAGAUUGUCAAGGUUUGAAUGGGGGGUUGGCUCUAUGGUGGAGAGAAACUGUGCAAGUUAACAUU
This 240-nucleotide ribosomal RNA is filed under the name Triticum aestivum (bread wheat). RNAcentral describes it as "partial small subunit ribosomal RNA". The record is from RNAcentral. Lineage: Eukaryota; Viridiplantae; Streptophyta; Magnoliopsida; Poales; Poaceae.